This 1997-nucleotide long non-coding RNA is filed under the name Homo sapiens (human). RNAcentral describes it as "HSALNT0309221". Lineage: Eukaryota; Metazoa; Chordata; Mammalia; Primates; Hominidae. The record is from RNAcentral.
UUAUUUGGCUGAUGGUUCUGCAGGCUGUAUAAGAAGCAUGGUGCCAGCAUCUACUUCUGGUGAGGAUUUUACGGAGCUUCCCCACUCAUAGCGGAAGGUGAAGGGGAGCUGGUGUGUGUGGAAACCACAUGGCCAGAGAGGAAGCAAGAGAUGGGGCAGGCACCAGGCUCAUUUUAACAACCAGCUCUGGUGAGAACGAAUAGAGUGAGAACUCACUCACUGCCCCGCCCACACACAGGGAGGGCAAUCAUCUAUUCAUGAGGGAUCUGCCCCAUGACCCAAACACCUCCCAUUAGACCCCACCUCCAACACUGGGAAUCAAAUUUCAACAUGAGAUUUGGAGAGAUCAAACAUCCAAACUAUUGCACUCAGGUUUCCUUAUCUUCCUCCCUGACUCACCAUCACACCAUCCCACUGUACCAUGAUGCCUACAGAAUUUCACAUUGCAGGUAAAUUUCUCCAGGAGCAGCACAUGAAUCCAGUACCAAUAUUUUAUCAAAUAUUUAUUUUUCAGAGACUAAGGCCAGGCAGUAUUGACUCGGAAGGCUGUGUGGGAGCUGGAGAACCAGGGUGUUGCUCUUUGGCCCAGGCUGAAGGGAGUACAGUGGUACCACCGUAGUUCACCGCAGCCUGCAAUUCGUGGAUUCAGGCCACCUUCCCACCUCAGCCUCUUGAGUAGCUGGGACUACAGGUUCCUAGAUGCUGGCAAUGCCAGGAUGGAUGAAUUACUUUCCUUGGCCCGGAGAGCCUCACCGUCUAGAAAGAGAUACAGACGUGCAAAUAAUUGCAAGAGAUUCCUCCAGGCAGCUGAGUGCACCUUCUGCAUACCUUUGAUAUCUAAUAUUCAAGUCAUAUCCCAGCCCUUGCUCCCCACAAGCAGACAGAACCAAGAAUUCUUCAACCUCUUCUGUCCUGAGACCCUGCCUGGGGCUCUCCUGAUUCUCUCAGCCACCAAGCUCACCUCCCAGUCUGUACUUUGGGCUUUUCCUCUCUCUGCAGGUAUGAAGUGGUCUACUCUGUUGCCGCAUCUUGUCUUGGGCUCUAUUAGGGGCUGAACCAUGUCCCCCACAAUCAAUCCUGAGUACCUCUGAAUGUAACCAUAUUUGGAGAUAAGAUCUUUAACGAGGUGAUUAAGUCAAAAUGAGGCCUUUAGGGUGGGGACCUAAUCCAAUAUGACUGGUGUCCUUACAAAAGAAGAGCCACCCGGGAUGCAUGCCUGCAUCACACACAGAAAAGGCCAUGUGGGGACGCAGGGAGAAGGCGGCCGGCUGCAAGCCAAGGAGAGAGGUCUCGGGAGAAACCAACACUGCCAAAAUCUUGAUCUUGGACUUCUAGCCUCCAGAACUGUGAGAAGGGUUUCUGGCUGAUAAAGGUAUAUAGGAGGUUCUGAAAUGUUAUUGAGUGAAUGAAUAAAUUAGCACUAGAAAAAAAGCAUGGACUUUGGAAGAGGACCAGAAUUUAAAACCAGACUAGAAGUGUAGAGUUGGGGGAACUCAACCCAUUUCCCACCACUUCCAUCGACCUCCUGUGGCAUCCUAAUGUUCAGAAGGAGAAGAACAUUCUAGAAGGAGAACAAAAUUCUAUCAGCAAGAAGUAUAAUACUCUUGUGCCAAAGGUGUGCACAAUCAGCCAAGUGACCUGAGAAAUGCAAGUCCUGGCUCUAUUGAGGUCAUCAAGGAGAAAGCAAGCCGCUGGCAAGUCAGGAAUCUGUCUCAAAGUAAACAUGUGGCUUGUGACCUUGAGGAUGUGCGUAUGUUUAUUGUUGGGGCAGUUGCUUUUUCCUUAUCUCUCACCAGCUCUCAAAAGACCUGUUUAAGUUUUCUGUAAGAGGAUAUAUCUCAUGUGCAGUUGCAAAUAUGCUUCUUUAUUCUUCUCUGGCUAAUAAUUAUCAAAGUUACAGUCAUGAAUAUUCACCUUCUCAGGCUGCUCUGUCAGAGAUUUUUCUGGGUGGGCAUGGUGGUUCACACCUGUAAUUCCAGCACUUUGGGAGGCGGAGG